Coturnix japonica (Japanese quail) is the source of this 1458-nucleotide non-coding RNA. Lineage: Eukaryota; Metazoa; Chordata; Aves; Galliformes; Phasianidae. The record is from RefSeq and is a predicted model, not a curated record.
UCUAAAGAGAGAUGAGAAAAAUUCAGUGUGCUGUAUUUAUGGCUCAUACGUUAAGCCUUUGCAUUCAAAGGAUGUGCAAGUGGACAUAACCGCAGGCCUGGCUGUGACAGAACAAGACAUAUCAGACCAACCUGUCAGUAUAUUCUCAGUGAUGAAAUUUUUUGCUGUGCUCAAUUUGUGCAGGUAAGGAGAACCCACCAACACAGCUCUGGACUCACUCCUUCCACCAUGGUCUGGCUGUAACAUUCUUCUUUUUUUACCCUUUUCAGUGUUUGUCUACUGAAGCUGCGUCCAACCAUGGACUUGCACUUAAAAGGGCAUUUUUAUCAUUCUCAGGUGUGAAACAUUAGAUGACGAGUGUGUCAAGUGUUCGAGAAAAGAAAAAAGGUGGAUAAAUUGGGUUUUGAAAGAGAUCUGUCCCCACUCAACUCCCACUGGGAACCAAAAAAACAAACGUUAUAGGGGAAUUCUAUUCUCUCUUGUUCUGUAAUAAUGUAGGAAUCUCAGGGGCAGAAGUGUGAUAUACAGCAACACAAGGGAAUGUAUCAGUGCAGUAGAAUCAUAGAUAUGUAUUUCUGAGAAGAGAUUUGGAGCUUCUGGGGGAAAACCAGAAUUUAGUUCUACAACAAACAUGAAGAACUACAUAGAAAAGCUGUACUGACAGCUGGAAGGAAGGAACUAACUACAAAAGAAAUCACGCAUUGGGAAACACUCUGGACUUGUUGGGCAACAACAAUAACACACUGCACUCAUCUUAUUCAGAUGACAUCCUGUUCAGAUGGAUACCGUGACUGCUGUGUAGUUAAGCCAGACAGAAGUGCCUGCUAUGGCACUAGUCAAGACCCUUGUCUUUCUUCAGAGCUGACAAACUAAAUCUGGGACCUCUGUGGUGUGCAGCUGAUCCCCAUAGCCAGGCUCACAGCACACUGCUCUAUCUACCAUGGGUGACCAAACAUUUUUGUGGGGACGCUGACUUUCUCUGCAAUACUGCAGUAGUUCAGCACUGUUCCCAAGAAACGAGCUUCCCAGAGCUUUUCAUUAAACAAUAUUCCCACACCUUCCCCAAAUAACUCAAUUUCUGAAGAGACACAGAAGAAUACAGCACUUAAAAAAACUUAAACCAGUUACAGGUAAACGCUGUGCCUGUUUGCUUUGAGAGUAACCUACAGCUGCAGGGCUUGCAAUUAGAAACAAGCUCCUACCCUAACAACAGAAACAAGGGUAAGUGCUACCUUGCAGCUCAGCCCCUCUAAGGAGUCAAUUUUUACCGUAUCCUCCAGUCAGCCAACUGGUACUGCUUGUCAGCAUCCACGCUGCAAUACAGCUUCAGCAAGUGGUCCAAAGAGUGCUUGCCAAGAUUGAGAAGACGAGCAGCUUGGUGAGUAUCAAACAUGUUCACCAAGUACAGGCCAAAGUCUUUCUGCAGCCACUCCACAUCUGAAUCAGCACCGUGCAGGA